UCGAACGCUCGUGGCAACACGGGAGUGGCGGACGGGUGAGUAACGCGUGGGAACGUGCCUCAAGGUACGGAAUAACUGCGGGAAACUGCAGCUAAUACCGUAUGCGCCCCUUACGGGGGAAAGAUUUAUCGCCUUGGGAGCGGCCCGCGUCGGAUUAGCUAGUUGGUGGGGUAACGGCCUACCAAGGCUUCGAUCCGUAGCUGGUCUGAGAGGACGAUCAGCCACACUGGGACUGAGACACGGCCCAGACUCCUACGGGAGGCAGCAGUGGGGAAUCUUGCGCAAUGGGGGCAACCCUGACGCAGCCAUGCCGCGUGAACGAUGAAGG
This 328-nucleotide ribosomal RNA is filed under the name uncultured soil bacterium. RNAcentral describes it as "bacterial SSU rRNA". It matches the Rfam family "Bacterial small subunit ribosomal RNA", at positions 62 to 414 of the family's 1533-position model. The record is from RNAcentral.